RNAcentral lists this ribosomal RNA (253 nucleotides) under uncultured bacterium. RNAcentral describes it as "partial 16S ribosomal RNA". It matches the Rfam family "Bacterial small subunit ribosomal RNA", at positions 524 to 776 of the family's 1533-position model. The record is from RNAcentral.
UACGGGGGGGGCAAGCGUUGUUCGGAAUUACUGGGCGUAAAGGGCUCGUAGGCGGCCAACUAAGUCGGACGUGAAAUCCCUCGGCUUAACCGGGGAACUGCGUCCGAUACUGGAUGGCUUGAGUCCGGGAGAGGUGAGUGGAAUUCCCAGUGUAGCGGUGAAAUGCGUAGAUAUUGGGAGGAACACCAGUGGCGAAGGCGGCUCACUGGACCGGAACUGACGCUGAGGCGCGAAAGCGUGGGGAGCAAACGGG